Pocillopora verrucosa is the source of this 458-nucleotide non-coding RNA. Lineage: Eukaryota; Metazoa; Cnidaria; Anthozoa; Scleractinia; Pocilloporidae. The record is from RefSeq and is a predicted model, not a curated record.
UCGAGUUUACUCAUGUUCCGAGUAAUAUUCUUGCAUCACUUCGUUCUUGUUAUAUGAAUGAAUAUGUAUAAAUGAGUUAGCUCUUAGGAGCCUUUGGUCUCUUAGGUUAGCGAGGAAAGCGUGAGGGAAGCGGGAACCGUGUUUGGGCCUGGCGAAAGCUUUUGCGCGACUGCCGCUUGGCUGGUUCGUUGAUGAUAAUUCAUGGUUGAAGCAUUGGAACUAAAUGAAGUUAGAAAUGGUUGAUUGCAACUCAUAAUUUUGCAAUUUUCUCUCAAGACGUAGAACAUGAACUAAGGACGAAACUUUCCCAAAGGUUCUUGUGGCUGCUGUAAUUGACAUUGCGUUAGGAUUUGGUACAGCACUGUUCAUAUAGUGUGACAUAGUGUGUGUCAGAAACAAGGCAACUUUUUAGACAUUUUUUACCAAAUGGGGUCAUCCUCCCAUUGGGAAAAGCUGAG